GUUUCCUUAGUUCAAAAAGAACGGCGGAUUUUCAUUUCGCAAGUCCUGGUUAGAGUCCGGGAAGAAACC
RNAcentral lists this transfer RNA (69 nucleotides) under Pempheris schwenkii (black-stripe sweeper). RNAcentral describes it as "tRNA-Glu". It matches the Rfam family "tRNA". Rfam says of the family: Transfer RNA (tRNA) molecules are approximately 80 nucleotides in length. Their secondary structure includes four short double-helical elements and three loops (D, anti-codon, and T loops). Further hydrogen bonds mediate the characteristic L-shaped molecular structure. tRNAs have two regions of fundamental functional importance: the anti-codon, which is responsible for specific mRNA codon recognition, and the 3' end, to which the tRNAs corresponding amino acid is attached (by aminoacyl-tRNA synthetases). tRNAs cope with the degeneracy of the genetic code in two manners: having more than one tRNA (with a specific anti-codon) for a particular amino acid; and 'wobble' base-pairing, i.e. permitting non-standard base-pairing at the 3rd anti-codon position. The record is from RNAcentral. Lineage: Eukaryota; Metazoa; Chordata; Actinopteri; Acropomatiformes; Pempheridae.